Long non-coding RNA from Diorhabda carinulata, 2222 nucleotides. RefSeq lists it as uncharacterized. NCBI's taxonomy places the organism in Eukaryota, Metazoa, Arthropoda, Insecta, Coleoptera, Chrysomelidae. The record is from RefSeq and is a predicted model, not a curated record. The transcript has 2 exons.
ACAGUGGACUUGCAGCGUCUAGACACGUGCAUUUGUUGAAGGUUUUGAGCUAUCUCCACCGACAGCAGUAAACGAUUGAUGAUGGCUUUUAUUAUACUGUGGCUAUAAAUUGUUAGUGCGUUUGUCGGUAUCAUACAUGUUGAAUAAACCGCAUGCCGCUGACUUCUCACUCUGACCGCCACCUCUAAAUAUCACACACAAUCAAAGGGAGGAAUGCGCGCGCGUACAAACGUGCAACCUGCAGCUAAACAAUGAUUCAAUAACACUGACUGAAAUGUGAAUUAGUGGAGUGUUGACGCUUUUCUAGUGUGGUCAAUUGUCAGUGUUCCGCCGUAACAAGAUUUUUUUUAUUUAUUCGGAUCAAAAUAAUUUUUGUCCAUGGAUAAAUGGCUGAACUUAAAUAAGAAUGGUAAUGAAGCAGAUGAUAAUGCUACAAACUCUUCUCAGGCAGGAAAAAUUAUUGGAAAACAGGCAUCUAAUGUGUGAAAAAGAAAAUAUGAUGAGUCUUUUUUUCAAUUUGGCUUUACAUUUCAAAAUUGUAAGGGUAAUGAAUAACCUCUUUGUUUGAUCUGCAAUGAAUUAUUCGCUUUGGAAACCAUCAAAAUUAAAAAGACAUCUUGAAUCAAAGCAUGUUUCAUAUGUCAAUAAACCAAAAGAAUAUUUUGAGAGACUCUUUAAAUCUUUAAAUAAAGAAAAGAAAAUCUUUGAAAAAUUUAUAACCGUUAAUGAAAAAUAUUUACUAGCAUCAUAUGAAGUUUCAUACUGUAUUGCUAAAAAUAUAGAAUUUCUGAUAUUAACAAGGAUCAAUUAAUACAACAAGAAUUAAAGAAAGCCCAAAAUUUUCAAUUCAGUUGGACGAAACAACUGAUAUUAGUAAAUUGGCUCAGUUGUUAGUAUAUGUCAGGUACGUUUAUAAAGAAAGCGUGGAGGAAGAAUUGUUAUUUUGUCGUCCUAUGGAAGACCAUACUAAGGGAGAGGUAUAUAUUGUAAAGUUGACGAAUUUUCAAAAGCAGAAGGUUUAGAAUGGAAAAAUUGCUGUGGAAUAUGCACAGAUGGUGCAAGAGCGAUGAAGGGCAAAAAUAUUGGUUUUAAAUCAUUUUUUCGAGCUGCUCAUUAUGAUCAUAUAAAUUUUACUCACUGCCUUAUUCACCGAGAGGCUCUUACAAAAAUUAGCAUCAGAAUUGAACGAUGUACUUCAGAAUGCUGUUAUGAUCAUAAAUUUUAUUAAGAGCCAUGCCCUUAACAUCCGCUUAUUUUCAAAUCUCUGUAAGGAUACGGAUUCCAACUACACAACUUUGUUAUUACAUGCAGAAGUAAGAUGGUUGUCAAGAGGUCAAAGUUUAAGAAGAUUAUUGUUAUUAAAGAACGAGAUCGAAAUAUUUUUAACCGAACGAAAAUGUGAACUUGCUGCUUUUUUUCAAAAUGACUUAUGACUAUCCAAGCUGUGUUAUUUGUCAGAUAUUUUUGAGAAGUUUAACGAUCUCAACUUGUCUCAUCAAGGAAAAAAUUGCGAUAUAUUUACUUCAAAUGAUAAAAUUGAAAGUUUUAUUAAAAAGAUCAACAUUUGGAAAAGUGCGCUCGAAAAAAAUUCGUUCGAAAUGUUUUCCAGUGUUGACAAUUUUAUAAUCGAGAAAAUUCAUUGUAAAACUUUUAUCGCAAAAAUUAUUGUAGAUCACUUAAAAGCGCUAGAAAUACAGUUCCGUACAUAUUUUAUAUUAAAUAUUGAUUUCCAAAAAAUAGUUUGCAUUCAAAAGCCGUUUUGGAUUGGUUUAAGUGUGAUUGAUCACCUGCCACUUAAAGCUCAAGAGGAAUUUGCUGAGCUUUCGAGUGACUCAAACUUAAAACUACAAUUUCAAAAAAAGCCCUUGACUGAAUUCUGGAUCGGAACUAGAACUGAAUUUCCCACAAUCGCUGAUAUGGUGUUAAAUGUACUUCUGCCUUUCAAUACCACAUAUUUAGUUUCUCAGCUUUAACACAUAUUAAAUCCCAAUAUCGUUCAGCGCUAAAAAAUGUUGAAGUGGUCUUACGUCCAGCAAUUUCAAACAUUCCACCAAGAUUUGUUUUGUUCUGCAAUAAAAAACAGGCACAUCCAUCUCUAUAAGUUUUUUACUUAUAUUUUAAUUUAAUACUUACCACGCAACUACUUGAAUAUAUUCGAGUGAAUUAAGACGGUCAGAAUCCACUUUUAUAUUUGAAACUAUAAUAAAUACAAUUUUAUAAUA